Molecule: ribosomal RNA, 253 nt
Filed under: uncultured bacterium
Lineage: Bacteria
Description: partial 16S ribosomal RNA
Rfam family: Bacterial small subunit ribosomal RNA
Source: RNAcentral
UACGUAGGGGGCAAGCGUUGUCCGGAAUCAUUGGGCGUAAAGAGCGUGUAGGCGGCCCGAUAAGUCCGCUGUGAAAGUCCAGGGCUCAACCCUGGGAUGCCGGUGGAUACUGUCGGGCUCGAGUCCGGAAGAGGAGUGUGGAAUUCCCGGUGUAGUGGUGAAAUGCGUAGAUAUCGGGAGGAACACCAGUGGCGAAGGCGACUACCUGGCCUGUUCUUGACGCUGAGGCGCGAAAGCUAGGGGAGCAAACGGG